RNAcentral lists this ribosomal RNA (179 nucleotides) under uncultured bacterium. Its description in RNAcentral is "partial 16S ribosomal RNA". It matches the Rfam family "Bacterial small subunit ribosomal RNA", at positions 1314 to 1500 of the family's 1533-position model. The record is from RNAcentral.
GACUCCAUGAAGCUGGAUUCGCUAGUAAUCGCGCAUCAGCCACGGCGCGGUGAAUACGUUCCCGGGCCUUGUACACACCGCCCGUCAAGCCAUGGAAGCCGGGAGUGCCUGAAGUGCGUGACCGCAAGGAGCGCCCUAAGGCAAUACCGGUGACUGGGGCUAAGUCGUAACAAGGUAUC